UGGGGAAUUGUUCACAAUGGGCGCAAGCCUGAUGACGCAACGCCGCGUGGGGGAUGAAGGUCUUCGGAUCGUAAACCCCUGUCGAAUGGGACGAAAGACUCGCGAGUGAAUACUUCGCGAGAGUGACGGUACCGUUAAAGGAAGCCACGGCUAACUCUGUGCCAGCAGCCGCGGUAAUACAGAGGUGGCAAGCGUUGUUCGGAAUCACUGGGCGUAAAGGGCGCGUAGGCGGCCCUCUAAGUCAGACGUGAAAUCCCCCGGCUUAACCUGGGAACUGCGUCUGAUACUGGAGGGCUUGAGUAUGGGAGAGGGAUGUAGAAUUCCAGGUGUAGCGGUGAAAUGCGUAGAUAUCUGGAGGAAUACCGGUGGCGAAGGCGGCAUCCUGGACCAUUACUGACGCUGAGGCGCGAAAGCUAGGGGAGCAAACGGGAUUAGAUACCCCAGUAGUCCCUGAGCGGGCUGGCAAGGCGCAU
RNAcentral lists this ribosomal RNA (473 nucleotides) under uncultured bacterium. RNAcentral describes it as "bacterial SSU rRNA". It matches the Rfam family "Bacterial small subunit ribosomal RNA", at positions 355 to 825 of the family's 1533-position model. The record is from RNAcentral.